AAAUACUACAUUUUCAGUGCUGCAGAUGUGGCCAUGAUGUUCGGCAUACGGUCUGGCAACAGAGAUGUGUUCGGUCCGGAUGGUAACAUCAAUGAGGCGGCAAGCGCGGCGGUCCUUUCUAUGUGAACAGAAUGCACAAGCAACCCGCCAUGUCACCACUGCGCGCCAUAACAUACACACCGACAUGAUCAACUUCACAGACAAGCUGAUGGCAACACUUUGCAUCCAAGUGCACAUGCUGUGUUGCGAGGGCUUACUCUGAUUGUCCCUCUGAAAAUGAUAGAUAACAAUGCAACAUCUACCGAACCUCACCCAGCUAAUCCACCCAGUUCUACUCUACAAGCCAUUGUACCGAACCCCAGUUUCUAGCAAAAUCCAUGGCGUGAGGCUUGAAAUUGUCUGAUUGUGAAGGAGAGCGCUCUUCUAAUAAACAUAAACCGGCUAAAUGGAUGAGGCAAUCCGGCUCCACUUCCCGCCCUCAGGAAACCAAGGCCUCCAAAAGCCCUAGCAAGGAAUCUGUAAGUGAUGCUCGGAUAACUGAAUCAAUUUGCUCUGCUGUCCAGCACUAUGCACGGUGCAUAUCAGUUUCAGUUAAGGAUAUGUACGCCGACUGCCAGAAGGGUGAUCCUUCAACAGUAAUUUUUGUUGUCAACCGCGUCAACAUACCGAAGAGGAAGUAUGUAUCAUCAAGGAGUUAUGCCACCAACCCAUGGUUCGCAGGCCGGCCAGUCGUUCCAACAUCAACUACUACUGUUGAACUUCUUGAAUCCCACUUCCAAUCGCUGUCUGCACACCACCUUGCCAGGUUUGCAUAUAUUAUCAUUCUCCACUAUUUAAAUAAAUGGCAUGCUACACUGCAUCACCAUAAGAAAUUUACUGGUUAUGACUUUUUUUUCCAAGAACUGGAUAGUACACAAUGCUCCACAGUUCGUACGAGUUAGCGGGAAGGACAUCAUGGAUCAGCUAGUCGGCAAUGACAUGCUCGAUCAUGAACUAGGGUGUAACAUUUUGUGGCGGCAGAACCAGGUCGAUCUGGAGUCAAACCACGCUUUGCCAUAUCUGAAUCACCGUCACAUACUAGAGUUUGAUUUCUCGAUGCUCGCUCUAUAAGGCACAAGUAUUUCUGAUUUUCUAGAGAUUCAGAAUCAAUUAAUUGGGGCAAACGGUCCAGCCUGCAAUUGAGGC
Triticum dicoccoides is the source of this 1185-nucleotide long non-coding RNA. RefSeq lists it as uncharacterized. The transcript has 3 exons. The record is from RefSeq and is a predicted model, not a curated record. NCBI's taxonomy places the organism in Eukaryota, Viridiplantae, Streptophyta, Magnoliopsida, Poales, Poaceae.